RNAcentral lists this small RNA (391 nucleotides) under Pongo abelii (Sumatran orangutan). Its description in RNAcentral is "processed transcript". The record is from RNAcentral. Lineage: Eukaryota; Metazoa; Chordata; Mammalia; Primates; Hominidae.
CUCACGAGUCCGGGGCCCAAGUCCCAGACGCUACCCAUGGAGGCGUCCAGCGAGCCGCGGCUGGAUGCUAAGUCCGAGGUCACCAACCAGCAAUAUUAAAAUGAAGAUACUUUAUUUAAAUAUGACCAGCGUUGAAACUAAAAGUUGAGUGUAACUGCAGUAAAAUUGAAUAAUAUCUGCAUUCCAGAAUUUCUACAGACAGUUCAAGGAAAUUGCUGCAGUUAUUGAAACGGUGUGAAGACGGAUUCUUUGGUUGAUAAAUUGCUGUCAUUCUAAAGUCAGGGACUUCACUUUCUGCAACAAAACCAAAUAAGGAUGGAACAUUUAUUGAAUGAAAAAUGCACUUUUGUUUUUCCAUUUUUUUAAAUAAUAAAAAUCAGACAAACAGGAA